UUAGCAAAAAUCGUAUGAAUAGGCAGUGUCAAGUUAAUUUUGGGUGAGUUUCCUUGAAGUCAGCAUUAUUUACUUUGAUGAGUUCAUGCUCCGUUGAGGCCGCAAUGUUCCCCUCCUGCACAGUGGGAGUGAUGGCAUAGCCUCUUACCCCACUGAGGGGUUGGAGUCCUAACCCAGGAACUGGUUCUGACACCUUUACUUGCUGAUGCUCCUCCAGGGCCCAUCAACCGUGAGAUGCGCCACCUGAUUAGUAGUCUUCAAAACCACAACCACCAGCUAAAAGGGGACGCCCAGCGAUACAAGCGGAAGCUUCGAGAAGUACAAGCUGAGAUUGGCAAGCUCCGGGCCCAGGCCAGUGGCUCUGCCCACUCCACCCCUAACCUGGGCCACCCAGAGGAUUCUGGCCUCAGUGCCCCAGCCCCAGGGAAAGAGGAGGGUGGGCCAGGCCCUGUCAGUACCCCCGACAACAGAAAGGAGAUGGCUCCAGUGCCUGGCACCACCACUACUACCACUUCAGUGAAGAAGGAGGAGCUGGUCCCCUCUGAAGAGGACUUCCAGGGUGUAACCCCUGGGGCCCAGGGCCCUUCCUCCCGGGGCCGAGAACCUGAGGCCAGGCCCAAGCGGGAGCUUCGGGAACGGGAAGGUCCCGGCCUAGGACCUCCACCUGUAGCGUCCGCUCUCUCAAGGGCUGAUCGGGAGAAGGCCAAGGUGGAAGAAGCCAAGCGGAAGGAAUCAGAACUCCUCAAGGGUCUCCGAGCAGAGCUCAAG
Molecule: small RNA, 768 nt
Filed under: Pan troglodytes (chimpanzee)
Lineage: Eukaryota; Metazoa; Chordata; Mammalia; Primates; Hominidae
Description: retained intron
Source: RNAcentral